Molecule: ribosomal RNA, 461 nt
Filed under: uncultured bacterium
Lineage: Bacteria
Description: bacterial LSU rRNA
Rfam family: Bacterial large subunit ribosomal RNA
Source: RNAcentral
CAGUGGCCGUACCCCCAAAACCGACACAGGUGGGUAGGAUGAGAAUUCUAAGGCGCUUGAGAGAACUCGGCUGAAGGAACUAGGCAAAAAUGAUACCGUAACUUCGGGAGAAGGUAUGCCCUUGGUAGGUGAAGGUCCUCGCGACUGGAGCCGAAGAGGGUUGCAAUAAAAUGGUGGCUGCGACUGUUUAGCAAAAACAUAGCACUCUGCAAACUCGAAAGAGGACGUAUAGGGUGUGACGCCUCCCCGGUGCUGGAAGGUUAAUUGAUGGGGUUAUCUCACGAGAAGCUCUUGAUCGAAGCCCCAGUAAACGGCGGCCGUAACGAUAACGGUCCUAAGGUAGCGAAAUUCCUUGUCGGUAAGUUCCGACCUGCACGAAUGGCGUAACGAUGGCCACACUGUCUCCAGCCGAGACUCAGUGAAAUUGAAAUUGCGGUGAAGAUGCCGUAUACCCGCGGCUA